RNAcentral lists this ribosomal RNA (493 nucleotides) under uncultured bacterium. Its description in RNAcentral is "partial 16S ribosomal RNA". It matches the Rfam family "Bacterial small subunit ribosomal RNA", at positions 28 to 507 of the family's 1533-position model. The record is from RNAcentral.
GACGAACGCUGGCGGCGUGCUUAACACAUGCAAGUCGAACGGUGAAGCACCUUCCUUUUGGUGGGUGUGGAUGAGUGGCGAACGGGUGAGUAACACGUGAGUAACCUGCCCCCUUCUUCUGGAUAACCGCAUGAAAGUGUGGCUAAUACGGGAUAUUCUGGGUCUGUCGCAUGGCGGGCCUGGGAAAGAUAUUGUUUCGGUGGGGGAUGGGCUCGCGGUCUAUCAGCUUGUUGGUGGGGUGAUGGCCUACCAAGGCGGUGCCGGGUAGCCGGCCUGAGAGGGUGGACGGUCACACUGGGACUGAGACACGGCCCAGACUCCUACGGGAGGCAGCAGUGGGGAAUAUUGCACAAUGGGCGCAAGCCUGAUGCAGCGACGCCGCGUGAGGGAUGGAGGCCUUCGGGUUGUAAACCUCUUUCGCCAGUGAAGCAGGCCUGUCCCUUUUGUGGGUGGGUUGACGGUAGCUGGAUAAGAAGCGCCGGCUAACUACGUG